Molecule: long non-coding RNA, 1503 nt
Filed under: Mustela putorius furo (domestic ferret)
Lineage: Eukaryota; Metazoa; Chordata; Mammalia; Carnivora; Mustelidae
Description: lncRNA (ENSMPUG00000024851.1)
Source: RNAcentral
GAUUGUUCCCAGAAUCUCACACAGCUCCCCAAUCUCUUGCCGACUUCCCUAGGUCCGUGGAGUCCACUAGAUGGCGCCCAGAUCUACCGCAGCGUCCUGCCUCCGCGGGGCGCAGGUCCUGGGAACAGCGGUGGAUUUUCUAAGAACGGCUGGAGAGAUCAGUAAGGUCCGUGUGCAACAGCUUCCUAAAGAUCUGCUCCAAAUGCUUAUAUUUAACCUACAGUGUUAUAAUAGCUUCACGUGGACAACUGAGUGAAAAACCCCAAAUCCUGAUGGUUCAGUUACACAAACCUCACUAUGUCGGAACCUUUGAACAUGUUGUAAUGUCAGCUCUCGUCAGCAUCAGGCAGAAGUUGGACGUUAUCCCCAUUUUACAGCACAUCUCUCCGUGGCCAAUGGCAGUACUGUGGUCUGGCAGAGCGUGAGAGUCCGAUGAUAUGGAAGUACCCAGCGGAUGUCAGAGAAGCCACAGCAGAUGCUUGGAUUCUUCAUGAGCACACGAAGCACCUGACUUCAGAGAGCACUUGUGCUCCAGAAGCAUUGAGAAAUUUUUUAAGUUGUUGAGGUCCUGCCAGGUAGAUGCAAGGACCAACAGAAUUUGCGUUCUAAUUAUUGGUGUGAUUCUGUUUAUAUUCACAAGUUCAGGAGGCCUGGGGAAACUCAGGUUGGGGUCCUAUUUCACAAGAAAAUUUUCAGCACAACUAGAAGCCACCACAGAUAUAAUCAUGCUGCUGAGCAUACAGACAUCCUAGGAUUUGGUAUCCUUAAAGAACUUUCUAAAAUGGGCAAAGGUGAUAAAAAAGUACAAACUUCCAGUUAAAAGAUAAAUAAGUUCUGGGAUGUAAUGUUCAGAUGGGGACUCUAACAAUAGGUAUCAUAUAUUUGAAAACUGCUGUUUACUUAGAAGAAGAAGACACUCGGCUGCUCAGUUGGUAGCAUCCAGCUCUUGAUCUUGGGGUUAUGAGUUUAAGCCCAAUGUUGGGUGUAGAGAUUACUUAAAAAAAAAAAAAAAAAAAAAAAAAGGAAAGUUGCUAAGAGAGUAGAUCUUAAAAGUUCUCAUAAUAAAAAAAUAUUUGUAACUGUGUGGUGAUAGAUGUUAACUAAAUUGAUUAGGAUAAUUAUUUUGCUGUAUAUAAAAUCAUAUGUUGCAUACCUAAAGUUAAUACAAUGUUAUAUGCCAAGUAUAUCUCAAUAAAACUAGAAAAAAAAGCUUUCUAAGCAUGCAUUAUUGACAUAUCACUGUUUUGAUGUUUAGCAUUGCUAUAUAUAUUCUUGGGGUUUGAACUUGAAAAUUGAAUCAGACUAUAUGAGUAAAUUAAAGACUUUAUGUUAAUGAUCCUUUAGUAUUUGGAUUGUAUUACUUUUCGUCUCAUAUUGGGCAGAGAAGGCUUUGAGGAAGAAUGGUUAAUGGUCAACAGUCAGAAAAAGAAUUAGUAGUUUUAAAAUUUGCAUUAGUGAAAUAGUUAUUUUCUAAUACCUAAUUAUUUAAUAGUGCAUUUCACA